This is a long non-coding RNA of Lingula anatina, 980 nucleotides long. Lineage: Eukaryota; Metazoa; Brachiopoda; Lingulata; Lingulida; Lingulidae. The record is from RefSeq and is a predicted model, not a curated record.
CUAUUUUAGUGACACCCCUCAUCUUGUAAAGCCUGUGAGAAAUAAUCUAGCUUCUUCAGGAUGGGAGAAAAACACCAAACAUCUAUGGACAUUAAACAUGAUGGUGGUCCUGGGCCCUGGUAGUAACCUAGUGCUGUAUACAGGCACCACACAAGUGAACAGUAUCCAUGUUCCAGGCAUUCUUUUGGCCACGCCUUCCACCUCCUUGUCCUAUCCCCCUGUACCAGACAGUCCAUAGACCUCCCAGUGACAUGGACAUGGGAUUUGAGGAGGAGUUGAGCCCAGACCUCCAGGUUGACUAUGACUCGUAUAGUUGGAAGAAGCUUGAUUCAUACAGCGAAGAGACCAAGAAAAUGGUCAAGGAAUAUUUUGAAUGUGAAGGGGAGUUCGGUGGCAAGAAAGUUUGUGAUUACAAGAUCUUUAAGUAAAUUAUCUGACACUGUGAACUGUGACUGGAAGAUAAUGAUUUGACACACUUUUUUGCAUAAGAAGGCAUGAACGGUUGAUUUGUUAUGUACCAACUGAACAAAAACUUGGUGUCUGUGUGUUGGAGAAGUAAGAUGGGCAUAAAAAAUGAAAUAUGCAAUAAAUUAUGAAGGCAAGCUAUGUGCUUGAGACAUCUGCAUUACUUAUUUGUGAAUUUCCUCGUACAGCAAGUGAUUAAAGGCUUAAAGGACAAAGUGGUGCAGAAUAUUCUAUGAAUCCCAUUCUGAGUGGGUUUACCUGUUGUGCAGCCAAGCAGGUCAUAGUGGUAAAUUUUAUCUUCUAAUAUUUUGCAAAUCGAGGCCAUUUCUAUGGCAAGUUCUAUCAAGGGCCUUGAGUUCGAUCUCGCAAUUUCCACUGUUUGCUUAAUCUUGUCAUAACCACCGUACAAAAAAUAAUUUUAAAAAUAUGUAAAUAAAAUCAAAUAAAAAUAGUCACUGAAAGUAUUUUUAAUAGAGAUAAAAAAGAGAAGACCAAUUCCAGUUGAAUUAAAUGAA